CCCAGGGUAGUGUAAAUGGUUAACGUGCUCAGCUGCUAACUGGAAGGUUGGAGGUUCAAGUCCACCCACUGGCA
Molecule: transfer RNA, 74 nt
Filed under: Loxodonta africana (African savanna elephant)
Lineage: Eukaryota; Metazoa; Chordata; Mammalia; Proboscidea; Elephantidae
Rfam family: tRNA
About the family: Transfer RNA (tRNA) molecules are approximately 80 nucleotides in length. Their secondary structure includes four short double-helical elements and three loops (D, anti-codon, and T loops).
Source: Rfam by way of RNAcentral